This 386-nucleotide ribosomal RNA is filed under the name uncultured bacterium. RNAcentral describes it as "bacterial SSU rRNA". It matches the Rfam family "Bacterial small subunit ribosomal RNA", at positions 29 to 416 of the family's 1533-position model. The record is from RNAcentral.
AUUAAACGCUGGCGGCAUGCCUUACACAUGCAAGUCGAACGGCAGCACGGGGGCAACCCUGGUGGCGAGUGGCGGACGGGUGAGUAAAGCAUCGGAACGUAUCCUGGAGUGGGGGGAUAACGUAGCGAAAGUUACGCUAAUACCGCAUAUUCUGUGAGCAGGAAAGCAGGGGAUCGCAAGACCUUGCGCUCUGGGAGCGGCCGAUGUCGGAUUAGCUAGUUGGUGGGGUAAAGGCCUACCAAGGCGACGAUCCGUAGCGGGUCUGAGAGGAUGAUCCGCCACACUGGGACUGAGACACGGCCCAGACUCCUACGGGAGGCAGCAGUGGGGAAUUUUGGACAAUGGCGGAAGCCUGAUCCAGCCAUGCCGCGUGAGUGAAGAAGGCC